UUUUUUUUUUUUUUAUCCUUUUUCUCUACUUCAGGGCUAGUUGUCAUGUUUGGACUUAGAGAAUUUUGAUGACCUCAGGAAUAGAUACUGUAAAUUAUUUUACCUGGUAAAAGUUGCUCAACGUGUUGUACUUGCGUUUGUCGAUAAGCAUACUGUAAAUUUUUUUACCAUGUAAAAAUGCACAAAUUAUACUAUAAAUUUUUUUACCAUGUAAAAAAAAUUUGUUGACUUCAGGGCUAGUUUUUAGUAGAGAUGUUGCAGCCAAGGACCAUAUUUUUGUGUUACACUUUCAGCUUCUCAGCUAUAACACCUUC
This 314-nucleotide unclassified non-coding RNA is filed under the name Puccinia pammelii. Lineage: Eukaryota; Fungi; Basidiomycota; Pucciniomycetes; Pucciniales; Pucciniaceae. The record is from RNAcentral.